Molecule: RNA transcript, 9977 nt
Organism: Alosa sapidissima (American shad)
Lineage: Eukaryota; Metazoa; Chordata; Actinopteri; Clupeiformes; Clupeidae
Gene: samd4a
Gene name: sterile alpha motif domain containing 4A
Exons: 13
Source: RefSeq, a predicted model, not a curated record
CUUGUUUUGGUAUUGUUCAGUUUGCUAUGGAAACCUUUUAGUUUUUUUUUUCUUCUAAAAACUCUAAUCCCUGUCAGUCGGCUCCGUAGGAUAGGCAAUGCGAUCUGUCCCUAGCUCCAUUCUCUAUUUUUGUGCUUCCUUGUGCUGCCAAGCCCCUGACGUAAUGCUUCGUGUUAAUUAUUAGCAUGUGGGAAGCUAUGCUGAGACUCUCUGGUUGAACAAGAGCAACUGUAGGGAGAAAAGUUAGUCAAGAUGGCAAAACACACUGACCCAGAGUGAAGGGGCACCGCUCCCCCAAAUUUUGAAAUUGUUGCGCCCGUCCAGCGACCAGCACCACCGAUGCAACUGUGCCUUGAAGUCUUGGGUGCUUCUCAGUGGAGAGUGCCAUCAGGAGUGGAGCUGAAGUGAGAAGCUGUGGAGUAGUGCGGCUCACUGUCCCGCCAACCGCGGCCCCCAGUGCCUAAAGGAGGUUCAGAGGGGCUCCCCUGGAGGCCCCUAUACCUUCCCAUCCUCCUCAUGUUCAGCUCCACGUCAAGCAAGGCAUCACUACGCAGGGAUGACACAACAGCCAAGCUCUGAAUAACAAAGCGCUAACCCUCAUGCACCAAGCACUGCGGGCCCAGGAAGGAAGAGGCCGACAGAAGAAAGGUCUGGAACCGGGACACGUUCUCCCGCUGCCGACGGAACCGCAGGCCUGAGGCCGCCCGCAGAGAGCAGUGUUAUAAUCAUCUAAGGAGCCCAGAGCCAGGGGGAUCCGUUGCUGACCUGUUCUGAACCCAAGCCCAAGAGCCCCGGUCCUAGUGUCCGCCCCGUUUCGUCUCGUCUGGCGUCCGUCCCACGGACCAUGAUGUUUCGCGACCAGGUGGGAGUCCUGGCCGGCUGGUUCAAGGGGUGGAACGAGUGCGAGCAGACCGUGGCUCUGCUCUCCCUUCUCAAGCGGGUCAGCAGAACCCAAGCCCGCUUCCUGCAGCUCUGUCUAGAACACUCGCUGGCGGAAUGCACUGAGCUGCACGUUCUAGAAGGAGAAGCCAACAAUCCAGUGGUCAUCAGCCAGUGGCAGGGCGAGACCAAAGAGCGGGUCAUCUCGCUGGUGCUGAGCCACCUGCCGCUGCUGAAGCCGGGCAACGCGGAGGCCAAGGGAGAGUACAUGCGUCUGCUGCCCAAGAUCCUGGCGCACACCAUCGAGCACGGCCGGCACCUGGAGGAGAGCCGGCAGCUGCUGUCCUACGCCCUCAUCCACCCGGCCACCUCCCUGGAGGACCGCUCGGCCCUGGCGCUCUGGCUCAACCACCUGGAGGAGCGCGCCGCGUCCAGGGGAGACUCGCUGGAGCGAGGGAGCGGAGGAGGAGGAGGCGUGACGUCGGUGGCCGGACAGCAGGGUGGACAUCACGGUGGCGGCGGGGGGGUGGCGCCCGGGGCACACCUGUACGCACCGCACCACCAGCGCUACGGCUCGGACGACCGGCUCAACGGCUGGCAGGGCUCGCGGGACUCGGGGCUGGGCAGUUGGCAGCCGCCGCAGGGAUGCGAGAACGGACACCUCAGCCUGUACCCAUCCGCCUCCGUGCCUGCCACCAUCAACACCGUGGGCACCGGACAGGGCACCAACGCCAUCCUGUCUGGCGGGCAGCACAGUCCCCUGAAGCGCUCCGUGUCUCUGACCCCUCCCAUGAGCGGGCCGUCCUGCGCGUCUCUGGGCCACGGCUGGCUGUCGCAGGAGGACCUGCGCGCUCGCGGAGGCGGCGGUGGCGGUGGUGUUGUCAUGGCGCCGGACCACGCGCCCCUCUCCCCCCAGAGCAGCGUGGCGUCCUCAGGCAGUGGCGGCAGCGAGCACCUGGACGAAGGCUCCGGACUGGUCGGAGUGGCGCUACGCAGCACCUUUCACGAGGAGGGGAGCGGUAUGCGGGAUGUGCCAGCGUGGCUAAAGAGUUUGCGUCUCCAUAAGUACGCCUCCCUCUUCUCCACCAUGACGUACGACGAGAUGAUGUCACUGACCGAGGAGCAGCUGGAGUCACAGAAUGUCACCAAAGGGGCCAGGCAUAAGAUCAUCAUCAGCAUACAGAAGCUGAAGGAGAGACAGAACAUGCUACGCUCCCUGGAAAAGGACGUUCUGGAGGGGGGGAACCUGCGUGCUCCACUGCAGGAGCUCCACCAGAUGAUUCUCACACCCAUCAAAUCCUUCAGCUCCGACGAGCCUUCCCAGCAUCCUCUGCUUGGGCCUGAGGGCAAGACCGGACUCCCAGCCUCCCACCUGGCUGCAGGAGAGGCCGAGUCCAGCACCACCAUCAUCUCUGAAGGGGACAUUCCUGGCCAGUUCACCCGGGUCAUGGGCAAAGUGUGCACACAGCUCCUGGUAUCCCGGUCGGAUGAGGAGAAUAUUAGUUCUUACCUGCAGCUCAUUGAUAAGUGCCUGAUUCAUGAGGCUUUCACAGAGACACAGAAGAAGCGCCUGUUGUCAUGGAAACAGCAGGUGCAGAAGCUGUUCCGCUCGUUUCCACGGAAAACUCUCCUGGACAUGGCAGGGUACCGCCAGCAGAGGAGGUGUGUACAGGCCAUCUGUCGCCAUACCGUGGUUUCGGCCAGUCCAGCUCGCUGCCGACGGCCGGCUGUGUGGGCAGCGGUGUGUCGGCGCGGCGGAACCUGCGGCAGUUCGGAAUGCCGUCCCGGAGUCUUCCUGGGGCGCGGCUCGGCCUGCUGGGCACCGCCGGACUCCUCGGACCCACCCCACGCAGCUCCAGCAGUACACCCACCGCACUCAAACAGGGACGCCAGGGUCUGUGGUUUGCCAACCCGGGCGGCAGUAACAGCAUGCCGAGUCGCAGUCACAGCUCGGUCCAGCGGACGCGCUCUCUGCCCGUACACACCAACCCCAACACCAUGGUCAUGUUCCAGCAGGCAGAUUCGCAGGUGCCCGUGACUGAGCCAGACAUCAACAACCGCUUGGAAUCUCUGUGUCUGAGUAUGACUGAACACGCUCUCGGAGAUGGCGUAGACCGGACUUCCACCAUCUGAGGGCAGCGAUGUGGAGACCCAGGAAGGCAGAGCUUCCCUGCCGGAGGCCGCGGGAAAGGUCACCCUGAAGUCACCAAGCCCAACCCCACCCAACCUGCACCACCGGCCAACCCCCAGCCACCCCCACCUGCACAUGCACAUGCACAACCCGCUAGCCAAUGGGAGAGGCAGAAGCCGGGAAGGGGUGGAUCCAAUUAGUGCCAUUUUCAGUUGACAGAGGGAGAAUGAAAGAGGGAGAAUUCACUAAGGCCGGUUCCACUGCCAUUAUGUCCACACUUGAAGCAUAUUCACACAUCAAGGCCUUUUUUAAAAAAAAAAAAAGAAAGAAAAGUAAAAAAGUCACUACACACGUGUCAAAGGAAAGAGUGUGACACCUAGACACCUAGACAUACAACACCUUCAAAGAGCUUCACGCUUUGGGCGAGUGUGUAACCUAGACACCUAGACAUACAACACCUUCAAAGAGCUUCACGCUUUGGGCGAGUGUGUAACCUAGACACCUAGACAUACAACACCUUCAAAGAGCUUCACGCUUUGGGCCACCGAUGUUUGACGUCCGAUGGUCAGUGUGAGGGAGGUCUGGACACGCUGGACAAGAUGGUGCGAGCGUCACAGGGGGGUAUGAGGGCAGGCCAUAGUGCCCCCCUAUGCACCACCACCACCACCUCCCCCACAACCCCACCACCUCCAUCACACAAACACACCUCUGCCCCCCCCUCCCCUCCACACACACACACACACACACACACACACCCUCUCUGUAACACACGCCUGUACACACCCUUCCUUGUAAAAACAGAGUGCACCCAGCCAACAUCAAAGCAGCCAUGCUAGCGUAGCAUAGCGCUAGUUCCAGUUCACUAAAGCAGCCAUGCUAGCGUAGCGCUAGUUCCAGUUCACUAAAGCAGCCAUGCUAGCGUAGCGUAGCGCUAGUUCCAGUUCACUAAAGCAGCCAUGCUAGCGUAGCGUAGCGCUAGUUCCAGUUCACUAAAGCAGCCAUGCUAGCGUAGCGUAGCGCUAGUUCCAGUUCACUACAGCAGAGGAGUACGCACCCCUGGGCAACGCAAAUAGUCUCUGCUGUUUUUAGAGUGUUUCCAGCAAACACACAGGGCUCUGGGAGAAAUAUUUGCUCUGUAAAGGUGCGCAAAUACAACAUUUUGCAAAUAUAUAUAUAUAUAUAUAUAUAUAUAUAUAUAUAUAUAUAUAUAUAUAUAUAUAAUGUUUACAUAGGAUGCUACUUUGAAGGGUACAGGAAGAGUUUGACAAAUUUCAGGUAUGAAUGUUUUCCAUGAUUUUUUUUUUUUUUUUUUUACGCCACUACAAAUGUAUUCAAUUCUUCUCUCAAUCAGCCGUUGUCGUAGUUUACAAUUCAGUGGGAGUCUUUUCUUAUUUUAUUUGUUUCACUGGUUGAUUUAUUUUAAGGAAGUCCUGCGGGAUUGAUGACGAUGUGAAGUGAAGGCCAGAGUAGAGUGAUAGAAAGUGAAGUAAGAAGGGAUGGAAUGCGGACGUUGACGUUUGGGAUUUUUAAUGUUUGCUAAAAAUCGGUGAGGUUAUAAGUGACGUGGGGCUAUCAGUAUGUUGUCUCGGUGUGAGGGUAAGUGAGGGGUCAGUUGGUCAGGAGAGAUUUCUGGGGAAAGUGUGAGGUGGCACUCAGUGAAAGUAAAUGGAAUCAGGUAAUUGGUGUUGUGUUCUUGAGCUACUUGUCCUUCCACCAUUUUGUUUUUAACAGUUUGCAUAUGGGUUCCGUCAAACUGGAUCGAGCUCUUUGGAUAUUCUGCAGUGAACAGGUGGUCGCGCAGCCCUUCCCUAGCGGAGCUAGUGGUCAUCGUUUGAGCUGCCUCCCUCCGCGUUAGAGUUGUAAUAUCCACACAGGGCUUUCAGAUGUGUGUGUGAGUGUGUUUGGGUGUGUUACAGGUUCAAGUGACAUAAUGUCAGUGUACUUGGGGCAUAUGGAGCUCUGUAUAUUUUUGCUUUAAUUGACCUGAGGUCAGAAAUAGUGUUUUUUAUCUUUUAAAAACAAACAGUGAAUUGCACACAUGAACUGACAGAAAGACAGAGCGAGGUUUAUGCUGAUUUUCACAGGGUGUCAGACCGAGAGGACUCUACUCGCCCAUCCUGCGUCCAAGCUCUAUUCCGCAGAGCUGUCGUUCACUGUGGGAAAGAUUUUCUUUAGUGAUUAUCUCCAUCUGGUGGCCAAAAGUGGUAGUACAGUACUUCUGCACACUAUGAUAGGUAGUUGUUCUUUUUAUUUUUUUAUUUUUAGACAAAACGAAGCUAGUCGUGUGGCUAGUCGUGUCCUGUAUACUGGUUUCCAGUUGCGUCUUAAUUUAAGUCGUUAGUUAUUUGUGUUUGUGCUAUUUGAUGGAUUUUAAUCAGUGUCGAUGCGAUGAUAAUGAAUAAGCUCUGCAUCAGCAGGUUAUCUGCCACUGUGGUUUUUCACACUUGAAGAUCCUUUGUAUCUUCUGUUCAAAAAGGGGCUCAGAUUUGUUUAAAUCUAAAAGUUUUUUUGGUUUUAUUUCAAAUUUGUUUGAAUAUGUCAAGGGCCGUUUCAAGCCCUUUUUAAAUGAGGGUUGAAAUUUUUUUUUUCUUGUUAAUUUGUUUUAGCGCUUUAAAAGUUAUUGUUUUUUUUUGUGUGUGUUUUGUUUUGUUUCUGUAGACAGUCUCUCGGGGACGAGGUGGGGUGGAGGGGGACUGGUGUAAACUAGACUCACAUAGAGGAUAGUUCCGGAACAAAUCUAGCCCUGAUGCUGGCCAGAACCAGCCACCAGAGGAGACAGACACACACACACACACACACACACACACACACACAAAGAGCAAGGCUCUCUUCCAGAACCAUGCUAUCUGUCAUGCAAUGCAGAGCGAUCCUCAGAGUGUGACGGCUCUAAGAUGGUCGAGGUCAGUGUCCGCCCCCUCUCCCCUGGUGGUGAUGACCCCGCUGGUGCCCCCUGGCGUAGAGACUCCCUCUAGUGCGCAACAUGCGUAAUGGCGGCGCGCAGCAGUGCAGCGGCUUCUCCAGCUCCCGGUGUAACCGGAAAAAAACAAAUACUGUCUAUCUCUAGUGACCCCUCUGCUUGGUGACCCCUCUGCUUGGUGGCCCCUCUGCUUGGUGACCCCUCUGCUUGGUGGCCCCUCUGCUUGGUGACCCCUCUGCUUGGUGGCCCCUCUGCUUGGUGCCUGCUCAAAGACGCCCCCCUGAAUCCAUCCAUGCUUUGGGUGAAAUUGCCCAAAUGGAUUCCUUCUUACAGUGCCCUGGCCUCUUGUCAGCGCUGACAGAGGGAGACGGGACGAGUUAACGAGCAGAAAAGAUGAGUGCAGAACGCCUUGCCUCCUCUAUGCCCAGUAAGAUGAGUGCAGAACGCCUCCUCUCCUCUCCUCUCCUCUCCUCUCCUCUACACAGAGUAUUAAAAGGGAGGCAGGGAGAGAGAGCGAUUGUGUGUUAUGCACAGUGACAGGUCUAUCCAUGUUUGGGUGAAAUUGCCCAAAUGGAUUCCUUGUGUUUUGAGCCGGUGUGAGGGCUUGUGUGUGUGUGUGUGUGUGUGUGCAUGUGUGUGUGUGCGUGUGUUUAGUGAAUCGUUGUGGCGCCACGUCCGAGUGGUCUGUCACAGCUAGGUGAUUUGCCUUUAGCUCAAAGAGGAGAGAGAGAGUGUGUGUGUGUGUGUGUGUCUCCAAGGAGACAAUGGGUCACUCCUGUCCGAGUGAGUCUUCUGCCGCCUUCCUGUGCAUGCCCAGCCUUAAGCAGGAGUGUGACUUUAAGCGUUGCGUUAAAAGCAGGAGUGUGACUUUAAGCAUUGCGUUAAAAGCAGGAGUGUGACUUUAAGCAUUGCAUUAAAAGCAGGAGUGUGACUUUAAGCGUUGCGUUAAAAGCAGGAGUGUGACUUUAAGCAUUGCAUUAAAAGCAGGAUUGUUACUUUAAGCAUUGCGUUAAAAGCAGGAGUGUGACUUUAAGCAUUGCAUUAAAAGCAGGAUUGUUACUUUAAGCAUUGCGUUAAAAGCAGGAGUGUGACUUUAAGCAUUGCGUUAAAAGCAGGAGUGUGACUUUAAGCAUUGCGUUAAAAGCAUGUCAGCUAAUGUUUUGGCAUAGCUAUGGAACCAUUGCCUGGCUUCAUGUGUCAUUAUAACAGGUGCCUCUUUGUCUGAGAUUUUAUAAACUUUUAUAAACUUACACAGACGUUGAAGCCCCAUCUCACUGCCAUUUGAAUAGAUAUUAUUAGCUCAUUCAAAUAAUUAUUUAUUCUUGUUUUUUUUCUAUUAAUGUUUCAGAGAUGACUAUUGUAUUCGUUAGGUGUAUUAUUUAAGAUACCAUAUAUAUUAACUUGCUAUGGCUGGUAACCAUAUGUACAUCUCAAAUAUCAACAUAGUUAUUUUUGUUUUAUUUUGAACUAUAAUCUCCAUGUGUAUUUGAUAGUUUUGAAAGAUAGACAUAUCAGUCGUUUCUCUCAGACUUCUUUCCUUUGCUGAUGAUGAGACACUUCAGUAGUAGUCCUCAGUGCCUAUGGUAAGUGUGGAGGGAGUAGUUUGUUUGGCUUGUUGUGAUGGGAGAGCUCCUGGUCAGCUCCUGGUCAGUGUAGUCAGGUGACCGAGUGCCUGAGGUACUCACACAGAGCUACAGGUCACCGAAAGCUGUUGUUGUUAUUGUUGUUUUCAUUGUUUUAUUUUUUUUUUCCAAAUGUCAAAAACACUUUCUACAUGGAACCAUGUCACCUCAGCGAAACUGAAUAAAAAACUACCAGACAAAGCAAACGCAUGGCGAUGAGCAACAGACACAAAGUAUCACGUAGACCGCGUGUCUCUGGCGAACGCUUGGACACGAUGAGGGACACGCAGAGACAGAGACCGCUCUGUGUGCUCUGCACUGCGCUAUUCUCCCAGACGCAAAAAAAUCCCAGACAGGAGAAACAGGCCCUGGCCCGGCCACACCAUGCCAAUCCACAUGUCUGCCACCAGGGGGCGCCAGAUGGACCCAUGGGAUGAGAUUUGGGCCCCCCCCCCCGUGUCCAGGGACUCUCAUGGUGUGUGCCAUCUAUACUCGUCUUGGCCAAAGUCCUUUUUGGGAACGUGCUAGAGGCACAUCAGAGUCAGAGACGCUCUGGAGGCGCUGGCUGUUGGAGAGAUGAGGUGUUGGUAUGAGAGCUCGGAUGGGGUUUUGGUAUGAGAGCUCAGAUGAGGUGUUGGUAUGAGAGCUCGGAUGGGGUUUUGGUAUGAGAGCUCAGAUGAGAUGUUGGUAUGAGAGCUCAGCCUCCAGUGGACGCGAAGCUGGCACGUCUCCUUUAAGUGCAAACAGCUGAUAACAUAGGUCACCUGUGCAGAGUGGACGCUGCAAACCCACAGUAUUACUGUUUAGAUGCUACCUUGAUAUUCCAAAAAAAAUGAUAUAUACUAUUUAAUUUAGUGUAAAUGAAGCCUUUUUUUUUACAGUUUCUUUAGUUUGUUUUGUUUUUUCAAGAAUCUGCAUGUUAGUCCUAUUGCAUUGUCUAUGUGAUGAGAUGUGUUUUCUUUUGUUUUAUAAACUCAUGCAUCCAUACUGUAAUGGCCCUGCCGCUUUACUGUGCCGCUCCUUGGAUUUUUCUAUUUUUUGUUUUGUUUUUUGUUAUUCUCAAGAGCCGAUGUCCUGUAUUGACUGCAGGCUUACAUAUAUAUAAAUAUAUAUUUUAAAAAGAAUAUCUUACGUUUAAAAAAAAAACACCAAAAAUUUACUAAAAAGAAUGGGAAAAAGACAAAAAAUAUGUAAUUUAUAUUUUAGAAAUGCAUGCAAGAGGCUGGGAAGUCAUACUUAGGAUAACAAAUGGCAGUGCCUUUUUUGUACUCUGACAUUUACCCAAAAUGUAAAUGGUUUUAUAUGGACUUUAAAGUGUAAUAAUAUUUCAGAGGAAAGCAACUACAGAUGUGUUUGGCGGCUGGCUGGCGAAUGGUGACAUCAUUACAAACCACAAACAUUAUUGGUUCAGAGACAGCAUACUCUCCUGUUGGGGUUGCAGACAGACGAGAAACAAUUGCUUUAUUUGUUUUCGUGCGGGUCCCAGCGAUGUCAGCUUCUUGGGCUCCAGUACUCUGUAGGUACUUUCAAUGCUGAUAUGAAGUAAAGAGAUACACCUGACUGUACAACAAACAAACAGAUGUAUAUAUAAAUAUAUAUUAUAUAUAUUUGUCUAUGUGUGUGUGACUAUGUGUUGGUGUGUGUGUGUGUGAGAGUAUGGAUUGUGUCUUCUGUAAUUGUAUACAUAUGUCCUAUGUCCUCAGAAAACAAAAAUACCAGUAAUGCUGCGCCCCACUAUUUUCCUUUUUUUUCCCUUUCCUCUAAGGAUGACUUAAACACACGUACAGUAGGGUGUCAUGAGUCCUGGGGGCAGGGAGUCCAAGUCUGUACUUCGCUUAUGACUCUGGGAUCCCGUACAGUGCAGUAGUUCACAGAUCUGGACUGAUCCGUUUCUACUGACUCUCCAUUGAAGGCUCUCCCUGCUAGAGCUCUCGUGGAGUGGGAACCCCUCGACACACCUACACCGUGUCAUGUCCAGUCCCACGGGCAGACGGGAUGAUUCAGUGACGACCGAUUCAGCUGCUGAAGUCCAUUAGAAUCCGUGGAAUUCAGCAACUAAACGUCUGAUUGUAUUAUCACAUUAACCUGUCCAGAGAUCCCAAACGCGUACACUACAUACAUAUAUAUACCCAUGGUUCAUAUACGCCGCGUAUCUUCAGUGGAGACUCCAUUCAUGCGUUGUGUGCAUUAGAAUGUGUGUGUGUGUGUGUGUGUGUGUUAUGUUGUGAGACAGAACGUUGUGUACUGUAUGUACAACUGAUGGGAGAGACGUGGUGUGUAAUCUGUCGGGGAGCUGUCAUGAUUUUGAAUGUCCUUUUUUGUUUGUCGUUUGUUUGUUGUUGUUGUUCUAUGGGGUCUGUGUUACAUGCUUGAUGUCUUUGUAAUAACCACAGACAAAAAAGUAUUAAAGAGUAACUUUGGAAAAAGA